CAAAAAGACCGUCCCACGUUCGGAUCGCAGGCUGCAACCCGCCUGCGUGAAGUUGGAAUUGCUAGUAAUCGCGAAUCAGAAUGUCGCGGUGAAUACGUUCCCGGGCCUUGUACACACCGCCCGUCACACCAUGAGAGUCGAUAACACCCGAAGCCUGUGAGCUAACCGCAAGGGGCAGCAGUCGAAGGUGGGGUUGAUGAUUGGGGUGAAGUCGUAACAAGGUAUC
This 226-nucleotide ribosomal RNA is filed under the name uncultured bacterium. Its description in RNAcentral is "partial 16S ribosomal RNA". It matches the Rfam family "Bacterial small subunit ribosomal RNA", at positions 1274 to 1500 of the family's 1533-position model. The record is from RNAcentral.